This 75-nucleotide transfer RNA is filed under the name Clostridiaceae bacterium. Its description in RNAcentral is "tRNA-Gln". It matches the Rfam family "tRNA". From Rfam's summary of the family: Transfer RNA (tRNA) molecules are approximately 80 nucleotides in length. Their secondary structure includes four short double-helical elements and three loops (D, anti-codon, and T loops). The record is from RNAcentral. Lineage: Bacteria; Bacillati; Bacillota; Clostridia; Eubacteriales; Clostridiaceae.
UGGGAUGUGGCCAAGCGGUUAAGGCACGGGACUUUGACUCCCGCAUCGUAGGUUCGAUCCCUACCAUCCCAGCCA